This 471-nucleotide ribosomal RNA is filed under the name Salmonella enterica. RNAcentral's name for it is "bacterial SSU rRNA". It matches the Rfam family "Bacterial small subunit ribosomal RNA", at positions 1 to 468 of the family's 1533-position model. The record is from RNAcentral. Lineage: Bacteria; Pseudomonadati; Pseudomonadota; Gammaproteobacteria; Enterobacterales; Enterobacteriaceae. RNAcentral also lists the same sequence under 1 other name.
AAAUUGAAGAGUUUGAUCAUGGCUCAGAUUGAACGCUGGCGGCAGGCCUAACACAUGCAAGUCGAACGGUAACAGGAAGCAGCUUGCUGCUUUGCUGACGAGUGGCGGACGGGUGAGUAAUGUCUGGGAAACUGCCUGAUGGAGGGGGAUAACUACUGGAAACGGUGGCUAAUACCGCAUAACGUCGCAAGACCAAAGAGGGGGACCUUCGGGCCUCUUGCCAUCAGAUGUGCCCAGAUGGGAUUAGCUAGUUGGUGAGGUAACGGCUCACCAAGGCGACGAUCCAUAGCUGGUCUGAGAGGAUGACCAGCCACACUGGAACUGAGACACGGUCCAGACUCCUACGGGAGGCAGCAGUGGGGAAUAUUGCACAAUGGGCGCAAGCCUGAUGCAGCCAUGCCGCGUGUAUGAAGAAGGCCUUCGGGUUGUAAAGUACUUUCAGCGGGGAGGAAGGUGUUGUGGUUAAUAACC